CAGUGACUGCAGAUUCACUCCCACUUUGCACCUGGACUAGUGGUUCAGUGAGUCUAAUGCAUACAAGUAUAGCUUAGCAAUAAAUAUACAAGGGAAUUUAAAAGGUUAUUAUAUCGAAGUGUCUUUUGUUGUUAUUAUGAAUGAUUUCUGAAGGGUUUAGCACAUGCUUAGCAUUUGAAAAAAAAAAAAACCUGAAAAAUAAUAUUAGUGGAAUUAUGCUUCUCUUCAUCACGUAUUGAAGCAUACCUUUAUACUAGUGCAUACUAGUGCAGUUCUUUUACAGCUGCACACUUUGGAGAUGUGAAAAGAGCGAAAAUAUGAAGCUCUUAAAAAUGCUCCUGAAAGUGACAAUGAUGACAAUGGCACACAUUACACUCAUGUAUUGCAAUAGCUGGAGUGCUGUACAAAACGUAAAAUGGCACUGACAGUAAUAGUCAACAGGUGGCAUUGUAGCACAACUAAUAAAUGGCACAUAUACCAAAAAUAUACAGUUUGAUAAUAUCACAGAAUGAAGUAAACUGUGCAGGUGCUACUUAAGAAUAUCAUAUUAUUAUAGAUCCAUCCAAAAUACAUCUGUAAACAUGUUUUUAGUGUAGAACCUUAAAGAACAUUUAGACAUGGACACUGCUAAAUACACAAUUCACAGUUAGUUACCAAAAAAAAAAUUCAAUUACAAAAUUUUGAGUCAGAGUUUCCUUACUAUGAUUACAGAAAAUACAAAUACAGUUGUCAGUACACUUUACAAACUUUUGUUCAAAUACGGUAAACUUGAGCUGUCAGAAUUCCCCUUUGGUGACAUCACUUCCUCGAUUGUCUUUAUUAUCUCAUCAACUGUAACUACCCACAGCAGAGUCUCAUACUGUAGCAGGGAAACAGCAUGAAUACGAUUCUACUAAGUUUCUCUGUCACAUUUAUGUGGCUCACAGGUACCACUUUUGGUAACAUUGUUCACCAGACUCCUUCUAAAUCAAUAAAGGACCGAGACAAAUCAGCUGUGUUCAUAUGUUCACACGAUAUAGCAAGUUAUUUCCAAAUGAUGUGGUACAAACAAACCCAGAGCACCCUGGAAUUAAAACUAAUGGGAAUCCUUAAUGGUGAAAAUGAUCAAAUAGAAACAGAAUUUAAAAACAAGAUUUUUCUGAAUGGAAACGGAAGGCGUAACGGCACUCUAACAAUUAAAACCCUCACAGUGAAUGACAGUGCGGUGUAUUUCUGUGCAGCAUAUGACACAGUGCUCUAAACUCCCUCCGUCUAAUACAAAAACUUGGCACUGUUACAGAAAUAGUUUAUCAACAAAAAGAUCCAGCCUUUGCUUUCUAACUAUAUUUGUCGCAACCUUUUGAUUCUUUGCCAAUAAUGAGCAAUAAUGAGAUGUGGGUGUAAAAGAAAAUAUCUUACCAGUGUGUGAUUCUAAGCAAUUAUUAUUGCUUGUGCUUACUAAAGAAAGCAUCAUUAUUACUCACACUUCCUAAUAUUAAUGACUGGUCAUUUACACAAACCCUUCAAAGUGAGGUGAAUGAAUGAAGCAUUUACAUAGAGCUGUAUUGUGUAUUGCUGUACACCCAAAGCACUUUACAAUCAUAUCAUGGGAUCUCUCCUCAACCACCAGCAGUGUGCAGCAUCCACCUGGAGUACAGAGUACAACGGCACCAGCGCACUCACCACUCACCAGCUAAAGGUGGAGAAGAGAGAGACAGAUAUUUGAAUUAGAAAAAAAUAUUUUAUUAAUAAUCAGAGCUUGGAGUAAUAAUAUGCAUAUUAUUAUUCGUUACUGUAACCACCUAUGAUGUCAUAUCCUGUUCAACAAAAGCUAGAGUUUGAAGCAGUUCAAAGGUUGAGACUCACUCUCCCAUCAAAACUCAACAUGACUAGUGCUAUUAUUACAUUGAUUCUGUUCCUGCGCUGCAGUCUAGGUAUGUACAACUUUAUAGCAACUGAAACAAUAACCUGACAUUCUUAUUAAUUAAAUUUAAUUUUGUCCACAGCUGCUGUUGGUGGAGAUGAUGUUUUUCAAGAGCCUAAAAUUCUCUGGGAACCAAAGAACGGUUCUGCUUCUUUGAAUUGCAAUCACAAAAAGCCUAUUUCAUACAACCAGAUGUACUGGUACCGACAGCGUCCAGGAGAAACUAUGAGGCUCAUUGUAUUCACUGUGGCUGGUGGUAAUCCAGAAUUUGGAGAUGUUGAAAAGAAGAAAUAUGAAGCUCACAAAAGUGUUGCUGUAAGUGGAUCAUUGAAAGUGAAAGAUCUCGAGCCAGACGACAGUGGCAUAUAUUUCUGUGCCGUGAGUCAACACAGUGUGUCAAAGGCUGGAGAAUGCUGUACAAAAACAUUCGGUGCAGAAAAAGACAAUGACAGCAUUAGUCAACAGGUGGCAGUCUGGUAUAACAAUAAGCAACAUUUCAAAACAGUCGAACUGAAAAAAAUAAAAAAAAUAAACGCUUGUUUAUAGAAUAGAGAAGUGCAAAAACAUGUGCCAAGGAUGGCCAAACAAUACAUAACAAUUAUAAUUAGGAUAUAAAGAGAGAAGAGAAAAAAAACCUUAAAAAAAAAAAAAAAAAAAAAACAUUAUAUUAUAAUAACCAAUAUUUCAUACAGAGUAUAAUAUUAUUAAAAUAGAAAUUAUACAAAAAUUCCAAAAAGUGAUCAUAAAUUCAAGGUUUUAGUUGCCUUUUAUUACAGGAGGUUGAAAAAUAUUCAAUAUAGGCUUUUUCAUUUCAUUUUAUUGCCUUGUAUUUUCAGGGUUUGUAUUUUCAGGGUCUGAAAUUAACAUAGUCGUUUAUUUAAGCUGUGAAUAUUUCACUUCAAAACAUUUCACACACAAUCAUAAUAACAAAAAAAAAAAAAUCAAUGAUUCAUAUUCACCUUCC
Molecule: long non-coding RNA, 2867 nt
Organism: Carassius auratus (goldfish)
Lineage: Eukaryota; Metazoa; Chordata; Actinopteri; Cypriniformes; Cyprinidae
Source: Ensembl